GAUGAACGCUGGCGGCGUGCUUAACACAUGCAAGUCGAACGGAAAGGCUCCUGCUUGCAGGGGUACUCGAGUGGCGAACGGGUGAGUAACACGUGGGUGAUCUGCCCUGCACUUCGGGAUAAGCCUGGGAAACUGGGUCUAAUACCGGAUAGGACGAUGGUUUGGAUGCCAUUGUGGAAAGUUUUUCGGUGUGGGAUGAGCUCGCGGCCUAUCAGCUUGUUGGUGGGGUAAUGGCCUACCAAGGCGUCGACGGGUAGCCGGCCUGAGAGGGUGUACGGCCACAUUGGGACUGAGAUACGGCCCAGACUCCUACGGGAGGCAGCAGUGGGGAAUAUUGCACAAUGGGCGCAAGCCUGAUGCAGCGACGCCGCGUGGGGGAUGACGGCCUUCGGGUUGUAACUCCUUUCGCUAGGGACGAAGCGUUUUGUGACGGUACCUGGAGAAGAAGCACCGGCUAACUACGUG
This 465-nucleotide ribosomal RNA is filed under the name uncultured bacterium. Its description in RNAcentral is "partial 16S ribosomal RNA". It matches the Rfam family "Bacterial small subunit ribosomal RNA", at positions 28 to 507 of the family's 1533-position model. The record is from RNAcentral.